GGAGCGUUCUGUAAGCCUGCGAAGGUGUGCUGUGAGGCAUGCUGGAGGUAUCAGAAGUGCGAAUGCUGACAUAAGUAACGAUAAAGCGGGUGAAAAGCCCGCUCGCCGGAAGACCAAGGGUUCCUGUCCAACGUUAAUCGGGGCAGGGUGAGUCGACCCCUAAGGCGAGGCCGAAAGGCGUAGUCGAUGGGAAACAGGUUAAUAUUCCUGUACUUGGUGUUACUGCGAAGGGGGGACGGAGAAGGCUAUGUUGGCCGGGCGACGGUUGUCCCGGUUUAAGCGUGUAGGCUGGUUUUCCAGGCAAAUCCGGAAAAUCAAGGCUGAGGCGUGAUGACGAGGCACUACGGUGCUGAAGCAACAAAUGCCCUGCUUCCAGGAAAAGCCUCUAAGCAUCAGGUAACAUCAAAUCGUACCCCAAACCGACACAGGUGGUCAGGUAGAGAAUACCAAGGCGCUUGAGAGAACUCGGGUGAAGGAACUAGGCAAAAUGGUGCCGUAACUUCGGGAGAAGGCACGCUGAUAUGUAGGUGAAGUCCCUUGCGGAUGGAGCUGAAAUCAGUCGAAGAUACCAGCUGGCUGCAACUGUUUAUUAAAAACACAGCACUGUGCAAACACGAAAGUGGACGUAUACGGUGUGACGCCUGCCCGGUGCCGGAAGGUUAAUUGAUGGGGUCAGCGCAAGCGAAGCUCUUGAUCGAAGCCCCGGUAAACGGCGGCCGUAACUAUAACGGUCCUAAGGUAGCGAAAUUCCUUGUCGGGUAAGUUCCGACCUGCACGAAUGGCGUAAUGAUGGCCAGGCUGUCUCCACCCGAGACUCAGUGAAAUUGAACUCGCUGUGAAGAUGCAGUGUACCCGCGGCAAGACGGAAAGACCCCGUGAACCUUUACUAUAGCUUGACACUGAACAUUGAGCCUUGAUGUGUAGGAUAGGUGGGAGGCUUUGAAGUGUGGACGCCAGUCUGCAUGGAGCCGGCCUUGAAAUACCACCCUUUAAUGUUUGAUGUUCUAACGUGGACCCGUGAUCCGGGUUGCGGACAGUGUCUGGUGGGUAGUUUGACUGGGGCGGUCUCCUCCUAAAGAGUAACGGAGGAGCACGAAGGUUGGCUAAUCCUGGUCGGACAUCAGGAGGUUAGUGCAAUGGCAUAAGCCAGCUUGACUGCGAGCGUGACGGCGCGAGCAGGUGCGAAAGCAGGUCAUAGUGAUCCGGUGGUUCUGAAUGGAAGGGCCAUCGCUCAACGGAUAAAAGGUACUCCGGGGAUAACAGGCUGAUACCGCCCAAGAGUUCAUAUCGACGGCGGUGUUUGGCACCUCGAUGUCGGCUCAUCACAUCCUGGGGCUGAAGUAGGUCCCAAGGGUAUGGCUGUUCGCCAUUUAAAGUGGUACGCGAGCUGGGUUUAGAACGUCGUGAGACAGUUCGGUCCCUAUCUGCCGUGGGCGCU
Molecule: ribosomal RNA, 1438 nt
Filed under: Shigella sonnei
Lineage: Bacteria; Pseudomonadati; Pseudomonadota; Gammaproteobacteria; Enterobacterales; Enterobacteriaceae
Description: partial 23S ribosomal RNA
Rfam family: Bacterial large subunit ribosomal RNA
Source: RNAcentral